UUAACUUUUUAAAAUGGUUACUCUGACAAACAAUUACAAGAGUAUUAAGGUUUUCUUUGGCAGACGCUGACCAGCAAUAGCCGGCGGUACUUAAUACGGGCCUGCCAAAGCAACAAUAGUAUUGUAAACAAAGGGUGGGAGAUAUACCCUGGAAGGGCAUUUUCUCUGUAAUGAUCCUUCCGCAGGUUCCACAAAUAAAAGGCUCGCUAAAGCCAGUGCUCGAUCAUAUCUUAACCCUUGAAGGGCCACCUCUAUUUGACCUGUGAACUCAAAAAUGAGCCGCUAGUAAUACAUUUGUAUAUCCUAGCAGGGUAAAGGUGUUGCCUAUUUAAAUAGACUCAAGCGUAGGCAAACCUAAUGACCUACGGAAA
This 371-nucleotide unclassified non-coding RNA is filed under the name uncultured fungus. RNAcentral's name for it is "sequence contains ITS1". Lineage: Eukaryota; Fungi. The record is from RNAcentral.